UUAGUACUCCCUCCGUCCCAAAAUUCUUGUCUUAGACUUGUUUACAUACGGAUGUAUCUAUUCACGUUUUAGUGUUAGAUACAUCAAAUCUAAGACAAGAAUUUUGGGGCGGAGGGAAUAGAAU
This is a non-coding RNA of Triticum aestivum (bread wheat), 124 nucleotides long. Lineage: Eukaryota; Viridiplantae; Streptophyta; Magnoliopsida; Poales; Poaceae. The record is from Rfam.